GACGAACGCUGGCGGCGUGCUUAACACAUGCAAGUCGAACGGAAAGGCCCUGCUUUUGUGGGGUGCUCGAGUGGCGAACGGGUGAGUAACACGUGAGUAACCUGCCCUUGACUUUGGGAUAACUUCAGGAAACUGGGGCUAAUACCGGAUAGGAGCUCCUGCUGCAUGGUGGGGGUUGGAAAGUUUCGGCGGUUGGGGAUGGACUCGCGGCUUAUCAGCUUGUUGGUGGGGUAGUGGCUUACCAAGGCUUUGACGGGUAGCCGGCCUGAGAGGGUGACCGGCGAAAGUGGGCUGGGGAGGCGGGACAGCUGGCGGCGGGAGGGGGGAGUGGGACAGAUGGAACGACGGGCGGACGCCGGGUGCCGCGCGUCCGGGAGCGGGCCGACGGCCUCCAGUUGGUACGCCGCUUUCGCGUGGGACGAAGCGUGGGGGCCUGUGAGGAUCAACGAAGCACGGGCUAAGUACGUGGCAGCGGCCGCGGUAAUAGGGGGAGGAGCAGCCGUCGACCC
RNAcentral lists this ribosomal RNA (509 nucleotides) under uncultured bacterium. Its description in RNAcentral is "partial 16S ribosomal RNA". It matches the Rfam family "Bacterial small subunit ribosomal RNA", at positions 28 to 546 of the family's 1533-position model. The record is from RNAcentral.